UUUUACUGUCAACUGAUUGUACCGUAAGAAAGAAACAAAUGUAAGACCUGUCGAGAGUAAAUCUGACCGGCACAUGUUCCCUCUCUACCCGGGGACAAGGCUGGAAAAGCGGGAGCAAAGAGAGACCGAGCAGACACAGAGCAGCUCUUCCUGGCCAGUUGGGGCUAUCAGCUGCCUGGGCUGUGUGACCUCACCGCGGUGACGUGUAAUCCAGAUUAACCAGCAGCCUUAUUCCGCCAGACGUGGAAGUGAUUAGAGAUUAUGACGUGUCCUUUUGAUAGAAUUGGACGUGUGGGUAAUCAACUGUGUCCACCAGCAUCCCGUAUCAGUGACGUCGCAUCUCUCCUGCUGAUGGAAUCUCCUGUUUGGGGUUGUCUCCACUGGAGGUUUAAGCCUGUCACCAGGUCACAACAUGGACCGGAC
This is a long non-coding RNA of Cheilinus undulatus (humphead wrasse), 423 nucleotides long. RefSeq lists it as uncharacterized. The transcript has 3 exons. NCBI's taxonomy places the organism in Eukaryota, Metazoa, Chordata, Actinopteri, Labriformes, Labridae. The record is from RefSeq and is a predicted model, not a curated record.